UCAGGGGAUAACAGGCUGAUCCCUCCCAAGAGCUCAUAUCGACGGAGGGGUUUGGCACCUCGAUGUCGGCUCGU
Molecule: ribosomal RNA, 74 nt
Rfam family: Bacterial large subunit ribosomal RNA